Molecule: ribosomal RNA, 459 nt
Filed under: uncultured bacterium
Lineage: Bacteria
Description: partial 16S ribosomal RNA
Rfam family: Bacterial small subunit ribosomal RNA
Source: RNAcentral
CCUACGGGGGGCAGCAGUGAGGAAUAUUGGUCAAUGGGAGAGAUCCUGAACCAGCCAAGCCGCGUGAGGGAAGACGGCCCUAUGGGUUGUAAACCUCUUUUGUCGGAGAACAAAACCCGGGACGUGUCCCGGACUGCGUGUAUCCGAAGAAAAAGCAUCGGCUAACUCCGGGCCAGCAGCCGCGGUAAUACGGAGGAUGCGAGCGUUAUCCGGUUUUAUUGGGGUUAAAGGGUGCGUAGGCGGUCCGUUAAGUCAGCGGGAAAAUUGCGGGGCUCAACCCCGUCGAGCCGUUGAAACUGGCAGACUUGAGUUGGCGAGAGGUACGCGGAAUGCGCGGUGUAGCGGUGAAAUGCAUAGAUAUCGCGCAGAACUCCGGUUGCGAAGGCAGCGUACCGGCGCCAGACUGACGCUGAGGCACGAAAGCGUGGGGAUCGAACAGGAUUAGAUACCCUAGUAGUC